RNAcentral lists this ribosomal RNA (432 nucleotides) under uncultured bacterium. Its description in RNAcentral is "partial 16S ribosomal RNA". It matches the Rfam family "Bacterial small subunit ribosomal RNA", at positions 29 to 507 of the family's 1533-position model. The record is from RNAcentral.
GCGAACGCUGGCGGCAGGCCUAACACAUGCAAGUCGAACGAACUCUUCGGAGUUAGUGGCGGACGGGUGAGUAACACGUGGGAACGUGCCUUUUGGUUCGGAAUAACUCAGGGAAACUUGUGCUAAUACCGAAUGUGCCCUUCGGGGGAAAGAUUUAUCGCCAUUAGAGCGGCCCGCGUCUGAUUAGCUAGUUGGUGAGGUAACGGCUCGCCAAGGCGACGAUCAGUAGCUGGUCUGAGAGGAUGACCAGCCACACUGGGACUGAGACACGGCCCAGACUCCUACGGGAGGCAGCAGUGGGGAAUCUUGCGCAAUGGGCGAAAGCCUGACGCAGCCAUGCCGCGUGAAUGAUGAAGGUCUUAGGAUUGUAAAAUUCUUUCACCGGGGACGAUAAUGACGGUACCCGGAGAAGAAGCCCCGGCUAACUUCGUG